CUCCUGGAAACGGGUGGUAAUGCCGGAUGCUCCGCCCCCUCGCAUGGGGGGUCGGGAAGGCUUUUGCGGAAUGGGAUGGGGUCGCGUCCUAUCAGCUUGUUGGCGGGGCGACGGCCCACCAAGGCUUCGACGGGUAGCCGGCCUGAGAGGGCGACCGGCCACAUUGGGGCUGAGAUACGGCCCAGACUCCUACGGGAGGCAGCAGUGGGGAAUAUUGCACAAUGGGGGGAACCCUGAUGCAGCGACGCCGCGUGCGGGAUGGAGGCCUUCGGGUCGUGAACCGCUUUUGAUUGGGAGCAAGCGUGAGUGAGUGUACCUUUCGAAUAAGCACCGGCUAACUACGUGCCAGCAGCCGCGGUAAUACGUAGGGUGCAAGCGUUGUCCGGAAUCAUUGGGCGUAAAGGGCUCGUAGGCGGUUCGUCGCGUCCGGUGUGAAAGCCCAUCGCUUAACGGUGGGUCUGCGCCGGGUACGGGCGGGCUUGAGUGCGGCAGGGGAGGCUGGAAUUCCCGGUGUAACGGUGGAAUGUGUAGAUAUCGGGAAGAACACC
Molecule: ribosomal RNA, 548 nt
Filed under: uncultured Bifidobacterium sp.
Lineage: Bacteria; Bacillati; Actinomycetota; Actinomycetes; Bifidobacteriales; Bifidobacteriaceae
Description: bacterial SSU rRNA
Rfam family: Bacterial small subunit ribosomal RNA
Source: RNAcentral